GUCCUUCUUUUUUUUACAGCAAGCGCGAGCGGGCCGGGAAGCGAGCGGGACGGAGGCUCGUGGAGCUGGGGCUCCCCCUCCUCUUUCUUGCGCGUGCGGGCAGGCCGAGGGCAUUGGCCCGUCAGGCUUGGCCUCUUUUCUCUUUUUUUAUGUGGGCUGGCCGAAGGCUGGGAGGCUUGGCCUCUUUCCUGCACCCGCGCGAGUUGAGCGGCCCAAGGAGCUUGGCUCCCCCUCUUUUUUUCUGUUUUGCUUGCUAGUCACUUUGAGAUUUUCCCGUAUUCCUUCCAACCAUUGUCGAAUAUUUGUUCGUGUAGGUG
RNAcentral lists this long non-coding RNA (317 nucleotides) under Brachypodium distachyon (stiff brome). RNAcentral describes it as "long non-coding RNA (BDIS_LNC002002)". Lineage: Eukaryota; Viridiplantae; Streptophyta; Magnoliopsida; Poales; Poaceae. The record is from RNAcentral.